RNAcentral lists this ribosomal RNA (253 nucleotides) under uncultured microorganism. RNAcentral describes it as "partial 16S ribosomal RNA". It matches the Rfam family "Bacterial small subunit ribosomal RNA", at positions 524 to 776 of the family's 1533-position model. The record is from RNAcentral.
UACGUAGGGUGCAAGCGUUACUCGGAAUUACUAGGCGUAAAGCGCGCGUAGGCGGUGCGGUAAGUCAGGGGUUAAAGGCUGCAGCUCAACUGCAGUAAGGCCUUUGAUACUAUCGCGCUAGAGUACCAGAGAGGAUGGCGGAAUUCCCGGUGUAGCGGUGAAAUGCGUAGAUAUCGGGAGGAAGGCCGGUGGCGAAGGCGGCCUCCUGGGCCUGCACUGACGCUGAGGCGCGAAAGCGUGGGGAGCAAACAGG